This is a non-coding RNA of Cricetulus griseus (Chinese hamster), 1420 nucleotides long. The record is from RefSeq and is a predicted model, not a curated record. Lineage: Eukaryota; Metazoa; Chordata; Mammalia; Rodentia; Cricetidae.
UCCGCGCGUCCCUCGUCGCCCGCCCAGGGUCCCUGUGGUUUGGGGUUCCAGCCUCUCUCAAGCCCUGGGAGACGGCGCUGGACUCAACGCCACGGGACUGGCACGGGACUGGCACUGUGGUGGCCAGGGACUGGAAGAUGCUUUUCUCCAUCGUGAGCCAGUCUGCCCGAGCUUCCUGAUCUGCGUGCAGACAGGUUCCCGUCCCCGGUCCCAAAGAACCCGCGGGAUUAGGAGAAACUUGGGGAUCCGCCUGUUGAGGCAGCUGUUGAAAACUGUGGUUCUUGGGGCUGGAGAAGUCGUUCAGUGGUGGUUAGGAGUGUUUGUCUGGUCUGAAGAAAGCCUUGGGGGUCAUUCGCCAGCGCCUCACAAAGACUGGUGUGAUGGCACGGGCUUGAAAUGCUAGCUAGUACUCAGUAGGUGGAGGCCAAGAGGAUCCAAAUCUCAAGGCCAUUUUGGGUUCGAAACCUGCUGGAGACCAGCCUGGAAUGCACGAGGGCCCGUUGAAAUACGGAAGGGAAAGAUGGUAGGUGUAAUUCUUCAAAGCCAGUUUAAGAAAGAUGCAACAUGUCUAAAGUAGCAGGAGUCUUGCGGAUAUGGAGGUAGUAAUUGAUGCGUGCAUUGCACCGAAGCUUCACCGCAGCGGACCACUCAACUGCAGUGCACCAGAGACACUUAAUGAACCAGUGAGGACAUUAUACCUGCUCCUGAAGAACAACUGUGUGUGAAACCAUGUUGUACUCUGGGUGAAGGCUCAGAAACUUCAUGGAGAAGAAGGCAAGAACCAAGCCAGCAGCUGCAGCUGCCACAGACCCAGCAGGACACCAGAGGUGUCACACCCACUCAAAGGCCUGGAUGAAGCUUGAGUGAAGUCAUGAGGUAGGUCUUGCAUGCAGGCUGAUGUGCUGUAAACUCCACUGGACUACAUACAAAGCAGCAUUUAGCUCUGGACUUUUUUUCACGCUAAGCGUGCAUGUGUACAUGCAUGCACACACGUACCUUAAGCACAAGCACACAUGAGCACUGGUAUGUGCCUGGAGAUCAGAGGACGAUUUGCAGAAAUUGAUCCUCCUCCCACAUGUGGACCCAGGGGUCAAGCUCAGGCCAUUGUGCUGGGCAGUGAGCACUUUUACCUGCUGAGGCAUCUCGUUGGCCCAAUUUUUUACAUUCCUUUCAAAGGUAUCUUUGGGAUUUUUCUUUUUCUUUUUUCCCUAAAUGACUUACUUUAUUUUAUGUGCAUUGGUAUUUGGUCUGAAUGCAUGUCUGCGUGAAGGCGUUGGAUUACUUGAAGCUGUAUCCUCUGUAAGAAUAACCUGUGCUCUUAACCACUGAGCCAUCUCUCCAGCCUCACCUUUGGGAUUCUCAUCUACUGUAACGAUUAAUGGGAGAUUUAAAAAUCAGUGGUAUUGGGUUGGAGAGAUGG